CCACAUAUAGGUGAUUAGAUGACAAUAUAAAGUGUUUACAUGUUAUGAUCCUACAAGCCCACUACUUGCAUUCAAAUAAGGCAGACACUGCGCAUGUAAGGAACGAAGAAUUUUUGACUUCGUUUUGUGUUGAGUGAGAAGUCAUCUUGGGUUGAGAUUGUUUUUAUUUUGAGCGAAAUGGAGGAAACACUUAGUGUCUUAUCGGACGAUGUAUGCGAGCGAGAUGAUAAGUCUAUGGGAAGUAGUUGCCUUACAGUGCCGUCAGCUCCAAAGCGAGGGAUGCGGAAAAGAAGUUUUGACGAUGCACAAAGUCGCUUGAAAUCUCGAAAACUACUUGGAUUAGGAGGAAAGGAGGCGUCAAAGGUUCUUCAAGUUUUGGGCAACUGCGAGCAUCUUGACACAAAAUUACCUCGUGGAUUAAGCUUAUGGCUUUUUUCCUCCUCUCUCAUGUUUCUUGCCAUGGCUAUUCUGUGUCUUUUUUUGGUCAGACCAUUUUCUAUCUGGCUUGGAGUCGAUCAUGCUCCUCGAAGAAAUGUGUUAGAAGUUCGACUACUUGGAGCAACAUUUGCUGGUUUAUUUUGCCUCACAUUUUUGACAAGUGUUACCUCGUAUCUCGUCGUAAGGAAUAUAUUACUUUGUCAUUUGGUUUAUUUCGGGCAGCUUGUUUGAUUUUUCUGUACGAACUUUACAUGGAAUCCAACAAAUACGUCAUAUUAUUUUUGGUAUUUCACACUUUCAUUCUCAUAAUCACAACGGUUUAUUUGGAGAUAUUAUGGCGUAUAAACCGACCGAUUCCUGAUAAACCUGUGAAUAUUGCUGACGCGGAUAAUAGCGAAGAAUUGAACUGAUUUGGAAAUUCGUUUGUGCUGAAGACUUGAAGUUGUGCGUUUAGAGCCAAAAAUAUGAAAACCCGUUCGAUGAUGACAACUCAUGGCUAUAUUGUUUUGUUUUCUUACUGUUUCUGCUGUAAAAUAUAAAUAAUUCGCAUCAAUAAUUCUUUGGUGCAACUAGCCCAACAAAGAACGUUGUUUUGAAAUUUUCGACGCUACCAAUUUUGUUUUGAAUAAUUAAGGGUAGGAAGCAUACACGUGUCUUCCUCUCUCUAUGGCGUCGGUGUUUUGUUUCUACAGUAAGCUUACCACUCAAGUAUACAAAUUGAUGUAUAUAGUUGUAUUAAUAUAUAUAUAAAAGCAGAACGUGAUUGUCGUCUUCA
This is an RNA transcript of Xenia sp. Carnegie-2017, 1213 nucleotides long. It is a transcript of the gene named tumor protein p53-inducible protein 11-like, with no coding region annotated. The record is from RefSeq and is a predicted model, not a curated record. The transcript has 9 exons. NCBI's taxonomy places the organism in Eukaryota, Metazoa, Cnidaria, Anthozoa, Malacalcyonacea, Xeniidae.